This 360-nucleotide long non-coding RNA is filed under the name Elaeis guineensis (African oil palm). RNAcentral's name for it is "long non-coding RNA (EGUI_LNC056575)". The record is from RNAcentral. Lineage: Eukaryota; Viridiplantae; Streptophyta; Magnoliopsida; Arecales; Arecaceae.
UAGAAUUUUCUCUCUCUAGAUUGUUUCUCUCUCUUGAUGGAUUUCUCUCUCUCUAAAGUUAUUCCUCUAGGAUUAGCAUAGUGGAAGGUUUCAUUUGAUGAUUUUGAUCGAGUUUAGAAAAAAGUCUGAUUUUAAGUGAGGUUUUGCUUUGGAAUUUGUUUAGAUUGAAUUUUGAAUUAAAAUUAAUGUAAAAAUAUAAUUUUGGAUAAUAGGCAUGGAAGAAUCUCCUAGAAGUUAGUCGAUCUUUUCAUUCAGUGCUCCGUGAAAGGUAAGUAAUGAAUCAUCUUCUCGAGAUAUUUCAUAUUUUAUUCUGAAAAUAAAUAAUUAUUCUCUGAAAUUAUGCAUGAUUUAUGAAAUUAU